CUUUAUUGCCCUUUAUUUUUGAAAAAAUAGCUUAAUUACGAACAUCAUGAUAGGAAUCACAUCUAAAUGAAAGAUCACUUGCAAAAUAUUGUAUUAACAAUGAGGUUCAUAUCUUUGUUCUGCGCUAUAUUAUUGGCUUUUCAAAUAAGCACAUCCCUCUUUGGUGAAGCCGUGGUGUUUAAGUUUACAAACUAUGUAUGUCUGAGCUACAACGAGUCCUGGUUCAUUUUUCACAACUGCCGGCUAAAGGCAGUUAGUCGGGAUAAGGUGAUCUUGAACACGAACGGAACCAUCCUCUUUCCGGCUUUCUCCAUCAUCACUCACAGCAAGCUAUUCAAAAAGGCGAACGGAUACAAGCCAUGGCUAUUUGAUACCAAAGUGGAUGCCUGUCGAUUUUUGAAGAAACGUUAUGAUCCUUUCGCCAAAAUUGUUUAUGGUCUCUUUAAAGAAUUUUCCAAUAUCAACCACACCUGUCCGUAUGUGGGUCUGCAGGAAGUAAGGGGCUUCUUUUUAAGGCCUGAGCUUUUGUCGCUUCCCAUCCCAAGUGGGGAUUACAUGCUGUCGUUGAGAUGGUAUUUUCAUAAGAAACUAGUGUUUGACACAAACGUCAGUUUUACAUUUACAGAAGAUUUUCUUCAUGGAUAGUAACAAAUAUAAAAUAAUGUCGGCACAAGCUUGCGACAAAUUUUGCAAAAUUAUUGUACAUUUUAUAUUAACAAAAUACGCCUUGGAUGGUUGCUGAUUUGGCCGAAAACAUUAUGUGACAACCAUCGUUUACAACAUUUUUUAAGGAUAAUUCUAAUUUGAAUCAUAAUUGUCCCUAUUCGCGCCUAGGUUUCCAGGGCCUAGGUUAUGGGUGUUCAAGUGUUUCCCGAGGCAAUCCCAGUUCCACUUCCGUCUGGAAAUUACCUAAUUUUAAUUAAAGGGUCUGAAGCCGAAAUGUUUCCACAGAUCUAGUCUAGUAUUCUUCGGAAUUUACUUCUGUUUUGAGGAAUAGUACUGUUUUUUAAUGAAAAAAUUACUAUUUACGAGGAUCUGCCCCAAAGUUGCAUUAAUUUCUGGGUGUUUGAUAAAAGGAUUCUAAUCACAAUUAACGUUUAUAAGAGAUGAAAUUCAACACAUACAUUUAUGUGGCUAUUUUUAACCAGAAACAUAUUGAUUUAAUUUAAUUCUAAGGUUUAUGUAUAAUCCUGUAUGUUUCGGAAAAUUAAAUUUAAAUGA
This 1221-nucleotide unclassified non-coding RNA is filed under the name Drosophila ananassae. RNAcentral describes it as "GF27548". Lineage: Eukaryota; Metazoa; Arthropoda; Insecta; Diptera; Drosophilidae. The record is from RNAcentral.